Non-coding RNA from Nephila pilipes (giant wood spider), 71 nucleotides. NCBI's taxonomy places the organism in Eukaryota, Metazoa, Arthropoda, Arachnida, Araneae, Nephilidae. The record is from the annotation of a GenBank genome assembly.
CCGUCCGAUAGCUCAGUUGGCGAGCGGUGGACUGUGAAUCCAGGUCGCUGGUUCAACUCCGGCUCGACGGA